AUUGAACGCUGGCGGCAUGCCUUACACAUGCAAGUCGAACGGUAACGCGGGGGCAACCCUGGCGACGAGUGGCGAACGGGUGAGUAAUACAUCGGAACGUGUCCUGUUGUGGGGAUAACCCAUCGAAAGGUGAGCUAAUACCGCAUGAUCUGGAGACAGCAAAGCAGGGGACCGGUAACGGCCUUGCGCGAUUGGAGCGGCCGAUGUCCGAUUAGCUAGUUGGUGGGGAAAGGCCCACCAAGGCAACGAUCGGUAGCUGGUCUGAGAGGAUGAUCAGCCACACUGGGACUGAGACACGGCCCAGACUCCUACGGGAGGCAGCAGUGGGGAAUUUUGGACAAUGGGGGCAACCCUGAUCCAGCCAUGCCGCGUGAGUGAAGAAGGCU
RNAcentral lists this ribosomal RNA (386 nucleotides) under uncultured bacterium. RNAcentral describes it as "bacterial SSU rRNA". It matches the Rfam family "Bacterial small subunit ribosomal RNA", at positions 29 to 416 of the family's 1533-position model. The record is from RNAcentral.